GACGAACGCUGGCGGCGUGCUUAACACAUGCAAGUCGAACGGAAAGGCCCUGCUUUUGUGGGGUGCUCGAGUGGCGAACGGGUGAGUAACACGUGAGUAACCUGCCCUUGACUUUGGGAUAACUUCAGGAAACUGGGGCUAAUACCGGAUAGGAGCUCCUGCUGCAUGGUGGGGGUUGGAAAGUUUCGGCGGUUGGGGAUGGACUCGCGGCUUAUCAGCUUGUUGGUGGGGUAGUGGCUUACCAAGGCUUUGACGGGUAGCCGGCCUGAGAGGGUGACCGGCCCCAUUGGGGCUGGGAAUCCGCCCCGACUCCCCCGGGGGGGAGGAGGGGGGGAUUUUGGCACAUGGGGGGAAGCCCGAUUGAGCAACCCCCGGGGGGGGGAGGAGGGCUUCGGGUUGUAAACCGCUUUCCCCUGUGAAGGAGGCGUGGUGGCCGUUAUGGGGAAAAGAACCCCCGCCAACCACCUG
This 468-nucleotide ribosomal RNA is filed under the name uncultured bacterium. RNAcentral describes it as "partial 16S ribosomal RNA". It matches the Rfam family "Bacterial small subunit ribosomal RNA", at positions 28 to 507 of the family's 1533-position model. The record is from RNAcentral.